UACGAAGGGGGCUAGCGUUGUUCGGAAUUACUGGGCGUAAAGGGCGCGUAGGCGGUGUGUCAAGUCAGGCGUGAAAGCCCCGGGCUCAACCUGGGAACCGCGCUUGAGACUGGCACGCUCGAGUUCGGGAGAGGAUGGUGGAAUUCCCAGUGUAGAGGUGAAACUCGUAGAUAUUGGGAAGAACACCGAUGGCGAAGGCAGCCAUCUGGACCGACACUGACGCUGAGGCGCGAAAGCGUGGGGAGCAAACAGG
This 253-nucleotide ribosomal RNA is filed under the name uncultured bacterium. RNAcentral's name for it is "partial 16S ribosomal RNA". It matches the Rfam family "Bacterial small subunit ribosomal RNA", at positions 524 to 776 of the family's 1533-position model. The record is from RNAcentral.